AUGGGGAACCGCGGGAUGGAGGAUCUCAUCCCGCUGGUCAACCGGCUGCAGGACGCCUUCGCCGCCAUCGGGCAGAACGCCAACCUCGACCUGCCGCAGAUCGCCGUGGUGGGGGGGCAGAGCGCCGGCAAGAGCUCCGUGUUGGAGAAUUUCGUCGGGAGGGACUUUCUGCCCCGUGGAUCUGGCAUUGUGACCAGGCGCCCACUUGUCCUUCAGCUGGUAAAUGCCAGCACAGAAUAUGGCGAGUUCCUACACUGCAAAGGGAAGAAAUUCACCGAUUUUGAGGAGGUCCGUUUGGAGAUUGAGGCUGAAACAGAUCGUGUUACUGGCUCCAACAAAGGGAUUUCCCCUGUGCCCAUCAAUCUCCGAGUCUACUCUCCCCAUGUCCUGAACCUGACCUUGGUGGAUCUGCCGGGUAUGACAAAAGUCCCUGUAGGGGAUCAGCCCCCUGACAUCGAGUUCCAGAUCCGAGACAUGCUCAUGCAGUUUGUCACCAAAGAGAACUGCCUCAUCUUGGCAGUAUCCCCAGCCAACUCUGAUCUGGCCAAUUCUGAUGCCCUGAAGAUUGCAAAGGAGGUGGAUCCUCAAGGCCAACGCACCAUUGGGGUCAUCACCAAGCUGGAUCUUAUGGAUGAAGGAACUGAUGCACGAGAUGUAUUAGAAAACAAAUUGCUUCCCCUCCGUAGGGGUUACAUUGGUGUGGUCAACAGAAGUCAGAAGGACAUAGAUGGCAAGAAGGACAUUCAGGCAGCUCUGGCUGCAGAGAGGAAGUUUUUUCUCUCCCACCCAGCCUACAGACACAUGGCUGAUCGCAUGGGAACCCCAUUCCUGCAGAAAGUUCUGAACCAGCAACUGACCAACCACAUCCGUGACACGCUGCCAGGGCUACGGAACAAGCUCCAGAGCCAGCUCCUCUCCAUUGAGAAGGAGGUGGAGGAGUACAAGAACUUUCGCCCUGAUGACCCUGCUCGCAAGACCAAAGCUCUGCUUCAGAUGGUCCAGCAGUUUGCUGUGGACUUUGAGAAACGCAUUGAAGGCUCUGGAGACCAAAUUGACACCUAUGAGCUGUCAGGAGGAGCUCGGAUCAACCGCAUCUUCCACGAGCGCUUCCCCUUUGAGCUGGUGAAGAUGGAGUUUGAUGAGAAGGAGCUGCGGCGGGAGAUCAGCUACGCCAUCAAGAACAUCCACGGUAUCAGAACCGGUCUCUUCACACCUGACAUGGCCUUUGAGACCAUUGUGAAAAAGCAGGUGAAGAAGAUUAAAGAGCCUUGCCUGAAAUGCGUGGACAUGGUCAUUUCGGAGUUAAUCAAUACUGUUAGACAGUGCACCAAGAAGCUCAGCCAGUACCCUCACCUGCGUGAGGAGAUGGAGAGGAUCGUCACCACCCACAUCCGCGAGAGGGAAGGCAGGACCAAGGAUCAGGUCAUGCUUCUAAUAGACAUUGAGCUGGCUUACAUGAACACAAACCACGAGGAUUUCAUUGGCUUUGCCAAUGCUCAGCAGAGGAGCAGCCAGAUGAGCAAGAAGAAGGCAGCUGGUAACCAGGAUGAGAUCCUGGUGAUCCGGAAAGGCUGGCUCACCAUCAACAACAUUGGGAUCAUGAAGGGUGGCUCCAAGGAGUAUUGGUUUGUCCUGACAGCGGAGAACCUCUCCUGGUACAAGGAUGAUGAGGAGAAGGAGAAGAAGUACAUGUUACCAGUGGAUAACCUGAAACUGCGAGAUGUGGAGAAGGGCUUCAUGUCCAGCAAGCACAUCUUUGCUCUCUUCAACACUGAACAGAGGAAUGUUUACAAGGACUACCGGCAGCUGGAGCUGGCCUGUGAGACCCAGGAGGAGGUGGACAGCUGGAAGGCUUCCUUCCUUCGUGCAGGAGUCUACCCAGAGCGUGUUGGGGACAAGGACAAAGCCAGUGAAGCAGAGGAGAAUGGAGGAGAUAGUUUCAUGCACUCCAUGGAUCCUCAGCUGGAGAGACAAGUGGAAACGAUCAGGAACCUGGUGGAUUCCUACAUGGCAAUUGUCAACAAAACCAUCAGAGACCUCAUGCCGAAGACAAUCAUGCACCUCAUGAUAAACAAUACCAAGGACUUCAUCCACUCAGAGCUGCUGGCAAACCUGUACUCGUGUGGCGACCAGAACACGCUGAUGGAGGAGUCGGCGGAGCAGGCCCAGCGCCGCGACGAAAUGCUGCGCAUGUACCACGCCCUGAAAGAGGCCCUCAACAUCAUCGGGGACAUCAACACCAGCACCAUCAGCACCCCCAUGCCCCCACCGGUGGACGACUCUUGGCUGCAGGUGCAGAGCGUACCGUCCGGACGCAGGUCCCCCACAUCCAGCCCAACGCCGCAGAGGAGAGCUCCUGCAGUGCCCCCCGCCAGACCUGGGUCUCGCGGACCGGCUCCUGGGCCACCUCCUGCUGGUGGCUCCACGCUGGGUGGUGCCCCCCCCGUGCCCUCCAGGCCAGGUGCCUCUCCUGAUCCCUUCGGGCCCCCACCUCAGGUUCCUUCUCGGCCUAAUCGCGCUCCUCCUGGUGUUCCCAGUUGUUCAUAGACUCCUCCGGAUCCUGAUACCAGCUUGUCAUUUGAGUUCACUGAUGAAUGGAGAAUUUCCAAUGACAAGGGACUCUUUCUCUUCCUCUCCUGUAUAUAGAAUAAGAAUGUUCCCUGCUAGCACUUGGACUCGGGUCCUUCUGCCAUGGGUGAACGAAUGCCAUCUCCAUUGUUGCUUUUUUAAUGCCCAUCUUUCCCUUGCUAACCGGGCUGCGUGCGUGUGUGAGAGAGAACAAAGCUCUCGUGUUCAGCACGGGUGGGCUUUGCUGCAGGAGUUGGUGGUGUGGGGUGAACUCAAAUGGGUUGUGGUGCCUGGGUGUGCUUUGUGUGCUCAUUGAUGCCUGUGUAGAUGUUUGGUAGUUUUGUGCCUCUGGUUUGGGCAUCUGAUUGUAUGAAUGAUGAACUUACACAAGUGUCAUGCUAGCUCCUUUUUCAUAAACAUAAGUGUAUAAACACAUUUUCACAUCUAAUUACCACAUGGUACAUUUUUUUGCACAGAAAGAUUUUCCUGCGUAUAAUUAAGGACACUUAAGACUUAACAUCCUGCUUCUGUGCUCAGCAUUUAUUCAGUUUACUGUGGAAGUCCAUAUAGACAAAUACAUAAUUUUGGCUGAAAGUUAUAAACCAUCCAAGAUCUUACCAGUGUGCAAUGGACUGCAUUUAGGAUUUGACCUGGGAAAGAAUAUUUAGGCUCUUUAGUUUAAAAUCGUUUGAUAGAGCCUGUGGGAAGAACUUGAAGGAGAAUUAAGAAAGUUUCAGUGCGAAUGACUCGACCAUUGGAAAAAUGUGUUGAAGGCAUUAAUGUGUUCUCCAUUCUUUGGUAUCACGAGGGCAUAGGUCUGGGGUUACCUCCUGGCAGGGAUGGUUCUCACUGGCUGCUCUGCUGGUCAGUACAAUGGGGACACAUCACUGGAACUCCCAAAGGGUUCUUGGACACACAGUUUCAAGGGACAAAUUAUCUCCUCGGUGAUUUAGUGGCCAAUGUCCAUGCCCAUGGCCAGGGUUGGAACUAGAUGGUCUUUAAGGUCCCUUCCAACCCAAACCAUUCUAUGAUAAGGUCUCAGAGCUGUAUGACCUGAAUUAUUCAGGAGGUCAGAGUAGCUGAUUUCAUGAUUUGUGACCUUCAGAAAAGCCUCCACCUGCUUUGUGCCAUUUUAGAUAGUGCUCAGGACUGCAAGUUAUCUCUCUCUUUCCUGAGCUCCUUCUUAAACGCUUAAUUUGGUCAGAAGAUAGGAGUCCUCAGUGAGAGACUACUGUGCCCAGCUGGUGGGUGCUGAAACCUGGGUAUGACACUGCUGUGAAUGUCAGCCUGGAUGUGAGGAGCUUGGGUGAGUGAGCAGCAGCCAGUAGGUGUGUGGACAGAUGGAUGGGGUUUGAUCACUCCUGUGCACAGCAGGGUCUGGAUGUGUGCAGAGACGAGGCUGUGAGUGUUUUCUGUGUGUCUGCAGUCCCCCUACUCAUGCUGUGUUUGGAGGGGGAUGUGUGACUGUGUCUGUGCAAGCACCUGUGUAUCUGUUCCACCUUCCUGACAGUCUGUGUGGCCUCUGCCUUGAACUGUCUGAACUGCCAUGUUGAUUUCAUGUUGUCUUUCAGAAUCACUAUCAGUGACCCCUGAGGACUGGCAGCCACGCAGAAGGGGCCCCGCCUCACCUACUCGACCUACCAUAAUCCGACCGGCUGAACCGUCCCUCUUAGAUUUAUAACUUGAGGCUGUAGACAGCUGGCGACGAGUGCCGUGCUGGUGGCUUCCCCAUUCCACCCUCCCUUCCACAGCCACAGUCACUCCUCUCAUCCAUCCCACACCCCUGCCUCCCACCACCCCUCCCCGGUGUGUCGUAAAACUCUAGCCUAGUGAUUGAGCUCUUCGUCCUCGCUCGUGCGUCCUGUAUUGCUUUGUGAGCAUAGAGUAGCCUUCAUGCAGUGGCAUGGAUCCCUGAAGUACACAGGCUCCUUGGAGAGAUCAGCCACAGGGACGUCCUUAGGUCCAAGUGGUGGCUGUCCGUCCAGUAAUUCCACCUGCCUAGUCUAGCCUGGAAAAGUGUCCUGCCUGCACCAGUUAGCUGUAGCACCCAGGGCUGAGCUGUAGCUGUUUUCUUUCCUUGUAGUUUAAGACAAAAGCGUGACUUAGCAAAAAUAUACUGUCAAAACACAUGACACCCGUUAGGAACAGAUUAAAUGUCCUGUGUAUUAGCUUGACUUCUAAGGUGCAAAAAUUUCACGUUGGGAACAGUGCAAUCAACUUCCUAUCAAAGCGAGGCAGGGAGAUGAGUGGAGGGGGGAAUCAAUGGGCCAGCCCAGUCUGAGAUGGCACACACCCCUCAGCGUGCAGGGGGCUCAGGACCUGCUCACCCUCGGCUCCCGGAGCCGGGCCACUCCUGCUGGGGGCACGCUGGCUCCUGCCAGCAGUUGUCUUGCAUCACCAUUUUUGGCUGACUUUCCUGAACCCAGCAGGGCGAGGGGAAUAGACACGCUGCUCCCCCCUUGCAAACGGACAGCCAAAUGUUUCAGGGAGUUCGCUGUGUGGUGUUUUGUUGAAAAUAUUUCUGCUCUGAACUAAGCACAUCUUUCAGUGUUCUUGGGGUACUGUGGUGACUUCUUCCGUAGCCUUUUCUUGCAUGUGGAUGGUACGUGUUUGGGGAAACUUGUAACCAUUGUUGAUCACAACUCAUCUUAAGGUUUGGUUUUUACUUUUCAUGCUACAUGUAUUUAAAA
This is an RNA transcript of Passer montanus (Eurasian tree sparrow), 5258 nucleotides long. It is a transcript of the gene named dynamin 1, with no coding region annotated. The transcript is spliced from 23 exons. The record is from RefSeq and is a predicted model, not a curated record. NCBI's taxonomy places the organism in Eukaryota, Metazoa, Chordata, Aves, Passeriformes, Passeridae.